Molecule: ribosomal RNA, 584 nt
Filed under: Meyerozyma caribbica
Lineage: Eukaryota; Fungi; Ascomycota; Pichiomycetes; Serinales; Debaryomycetaceae
Description: eukaryotic LSU rRNA
Rfam family: Eukaryotic large subunit ribosomal RNA
Source: RNAcentral
GAGGAAAAGAAACCAACAGGGAUUGCCUUAGUAGCGGCGAGUGAAGCGGCAAAAGCUCAAAUUUGAAAUCUGGCACCUUCGGUGUCCGAGUUGUAAUUUGAAGAUUGUAACCUUGGGGUUGGCUCUUGUCUAUGUUUCUUGGAACAGGACGUCACAGAGGGUGAGAAUCCCGUGCGAUGAGAUGCCCAAUCCUAUGUAAGGUGCUUUCGAAGAGUCGAGUUGUUUGGGAAUGCAGCUCUAAGUGGGUGGUAAAUUCCAUCUAAAGCUAAAUAUUGGCGAGAGACCGAUAGCGAACAAGUACAGUGAUGGAAAGAUGAAAAGAACUUUGAAAAGAGAGUGAAAAAGUACGUGAAAUUGUUGAAAGGGAAGGGUUUGAGAUCAGACUCGAUAUUUUGUGAGCCUUGCCUUCGUGGCGGGGUGACCCGCAGCUUAUCGGGCCAGCAUCGGUUUGGGCGGUAGGAUAAUGGCGUAGGAAUGUGACUUUGCUUCGGUGAAGUGUUAUAGCCUGCGUUGAUGCUGCCUGCCUAGACCGAGGACUGCGAUUUUAUCAAGGAUGCUGGCAUAAUGAUCCCAAACCGCCCGUC